Molecule: ribosomal RNA, 274 nt
Filed under: uncultured bacterium
Lineage: Bacteria
Description: partial 16S ribosomal RNA
Rfam family: Bacterial small subunit ribosomal RNA
Source: RNAcentral
AUACGGAGGGUGCUGGCGUUGUUCGGAAUUACUGGGCGUAAAGAGCAUGUAGGCGGAUAGAUUAGUCAGAGGUGAAAGCCCCGAGCUCAACUCGGGAACUGCCUUUGAUACUGUUUAUCUAGAGACCGAGAGAGGUGAGUGGAAUUCUCAGUGAAGAGGUGAAAUUCGUAGAUAUUGGGAAGAACACCAGUGGCGAAGGCGGCUCACUGGCUCGGAACUGACGCUGAGAUGCGAAAGCGUGGGGAGCGAACAGGAUUAGAAACCCCAGUAGUCC